CAAAAGGGUGUUUGCUUUACGUUUAUAUGGCACGCCUAAUCGUAAUCCCUUAAUCAGGACUCGGUUGGGUGAGGUAUGGUUAUCAAGACAUACCUAGCACUAAAUUUUUUUUACCGGAAAGCUGUUGAAAGCUACUUGCGUCGACGCCUUC
Topomyia yanbarensis is the source of this 151-nucleotide small nuclear RNA. RefSeq annotates it as U11 spliceosomal RNA. The record is from RefSeq and is a predicted model, not a curated record. The transcript has a single exon. Lineage: Eukaryota; Metazoa; Arthropoda; Insecta; Diptera; Culicidae.